UGCCUCCUGGUGCUUACCACAGGCUGUGUUCUUACUCUGACUGUAUAGACAGAGGAAGCACUCCGAUACUG
This 71-nucleotide small nucleolar RNA is filed under the name Castor canadensis (American beaver). RNAcentral's name for it is "Small nucleolar RNA SNORA51 (ENSCCNG00000008095.1)". It matches the Rfam family "Small nucleolar RNA SNORA51". From Rfam's summary of the family: ACA51 is a member of the H/ACA class of snoRNA that guide the sites of modification of uridines to pseudouridines. Lineage: Eukaryota; Metazoa; Chordata; Mammalia; Rodentia; Castoridae. The record is from Rfam by way of RNAcentral.